Molecule: transfer RNA, 69 nt
Filed under: Ictidomys tridecemlineatus (thirteen-lined ground squirrel)
Lineage: Eukaryota; Metazoa; Chordata; Mammalia; Rodentia; Sciuridae
Also listed under: 1 other name
Description: Spermophilus tridecemlineatus (thirteen-lined ground squirrel) tRNA
Rfam family: tRNA
About the family: Transfer RNA (tRNA) molecules are approximately 80 nucleotides in length.
Source: Rfam by way of RNAcentral
GGGGUUGUGGCUCAAUGGUAGAGCACUUGCCUAGCAUGUGUGAGGCACUUGGUUCAAGUCUCAACACCA